AAAUUGAAGAGUUUGAUCAUGGCUCAGAUUGAACGCUGGCGGCAGGCCUAACACAUGCAAGUCGAACGGUAACAGGAAUCAGCUUGCUGAUUCGCUGACGAGUGGCGGACGGGUGAGUAAUGUCUGGGAAACUGCCUGAUGGAGGGGGAUAACUACUGGAAACGGUAGCUAAUACCGCAUAAUGUCGCAAGACCAAAAAGGGGGACCUUCGGGCCUCUUGCCAUC
RNAcentral lists this ribosomal RNA (225 nucleotides) under Shigella boydii. Its description in RNAcentral is "partial 16S ribosomal RNA". It matches the Rfam family "Bacterial small subunit ribosomal RNA", at positions 1 to 222 of the family's 1533-position model. Lineage: Bacteria; Pseudomonadati; Pseudomonadota; Gammaproteobacteria; Enterobacterales; Enterobacteriaceae. The record is from RNAcentral. RNAcentral also lists the same sequence under 1 other name.